AUAAAUUGGGUGAGGAUUGAUACUUACGGGUUCCAUGAACGCUUACUUCGCUCCGUCAAUGCCUGCUCUAUCGGUUCCCCAGCGGGC
RNAcentral lists this microRNA precursor (87 nucleotides) under Bombyx mori (domestic silkworm). RNAcentral's name for it is "microRNA bmo-mir-2819 precursor". The record is from miRBase by way of RNAcentral. Lineage: Eukaryota; Metazoa; Arthropoda; Insecta; Lepidoptera; Bombycidae.